Molecule: ribosomal RNA, 450 nt
Filed under: uncultured bacterium
Lineage: Bacteria
Description: partial 16S ribosomal RNA
Rfam family: Bacterial small subunit ribosomal RNA
Source: RNAcentral
GUGGGGAAUAUUGGACAAUGGGCGAAAGCCUGAUCCAGCCAUGCCGCGUGUGUGAAGAAGGCCUUCGGAUUGUAAAGCACUUUAAGUUGGGAGGAAGGGUAGUAACCUAAUACGUUGCUACUUUGACGUUACCGACAGAAUAAGCACCGGCUAACUUCGUGCCAGCAGCCGCGGUAAUACGAAGGGUGCAAGCGUUAAUCGGAAUUACUGGGCGUAAAGCGCGCGUAGGUGGUUCAGUAAGUUGGAAGUGAAAUCCCCGGGCUCAACCUGGGAACUGCUUUCAAAACUGCUGAGCUAGAGUACGGUAGAGGGUGGUGGAAUUUCCUGUGUAGCGGUGAAAUGCGUAGAUAUAGGAAGGAACACCAGUGGCGAAGGCGACCACCUGGACUGAUACUGACACUGAGGUGCGAAAGCGUGGGGAGCAAACAGGAUUAGAAACCCCUGUAGUCC